RNAcentral lists this ribosomal RNA (392 nucleotides) under uncultured eukaryote. RNAcentral's name for it is "partial 18S ribosomal RNA". It matches the Rfam family "Eukaryotic small subunit ribosomal RNA", at positions 592 to 975 of the family's 1831-position model. The record is from RNAcentral.
CAAUAGCAUAUAUGAAUGUUGUUGCAGUUAAAACGCUCGUAGUCGAUAUUAUCGAACUCGGACCUAUUGCAGGGGGGGAACGUAACCAAAUCUACGGAAAAAGGAGGCACUUUUGCGUUCUUGGCAGACAGUAGUACGUUUUUAUUUAUAAAUUCGUCGUCAUUACCUUGAAUGAAUCAGCGUUCUCAAAGCAGUGCUGGUGCACACUGAAUGAUCAAGCAUGGGAUAAUACAUAUCACUGUUGACAAAUAUUGUAUUGGUACUAAGGCCAACACUUACAAGUGAUUANUAGGAACAGUUGAGGGCUCUAGUACUGAAUGGCGAGAGGUGAAAUUCUUAGACCCAUUCAUGACUUUAUGAGGCGAANGNAUUUGCNAAGGAUGUUUNCAUUG